Molecule: ribosomal RNA, 292 nt
Filed under: uncultured bacterium
Lineage: Bacteria
Description: partial 16S ribosomal RNA
Rfam family: Bacterial small subunit ribosomal RNA
Source: RNAcentral
GUGUCAGCAGCCGCGGUAAUACGUAGGGUGCGAGCGUUAAUCGGAAUUACUGGGCGUAAAGCGUGCGCAGGCGGUUGUGCAAGACAGGCGUGAAAUCCCCGGGCUUAACCUGGGAACUGCGCUUGUGACUGCACGGCUAGAGUACGGCAGAGGGGGGUGGAAUUCCACGUGUAGCAGUGAAAUGCGUAGAGAUGUGGAGGAACACCGAUGGCGAAGGCAGCCCCCUGGGCCAGUACUGACGCUCAUGCACGAAAGCGUGGGGAGCAAACAGGAUUAGAAACCCUGGUAGUCC